This 277-nucleotide ribosomal RNA is filed under the name uncultured bacterium. RNAcentral describes it as "partial 16S ribosomal RNA". It matches the Rfam family "Bacterial small subunit ribosomal RNA", at positions 524 to 799 of the family's 1533-position model. The record is from RNAcentral.
UACGAAGGGUGCGAGCGUUAAUCGGAAUUACUGGGCGUAAAGAGCACGUAGGCGGUUUGAUAAGCGGAAUGUGAAAUCUCCGGGCUUAACCUGGGAACUGCAUUCCGAACUGUCAGGCUAGAGUAUGAUAGAGGUGAGCGGAAUUUCCUGUGUAGCGGUGAAAUGCGUAGAUAUAGGAAGGAACAUCAGUUGCGAAGGCGGCUCACUGGAUCAAUACUGACGCUGAGGUGCGAAAGCGUGGGUAGCGAACAGGAUUAGAAACCCCUCGUAGUCCGUC